This 253-nucleotide ribosomal RNA is filed under the name uncultured bacterium. RNAcentral's name for it is "partial 16S ribosomal RNA". It matches the Rfam family "Bacterial small subunit ribosomal RNA", at positions 524 to 776 of the family's 1533-position model. The record is from RNAcentral.
GACAGAGGGUGCAAACGUUGUUCGGAAUUACUGGGCGUAAAGCGCGUGUAGGCUGCUCUGUGUGUCGGAUGUGAAAGCCCCGGGCUCAACCUGGGAAGUGCACUCGAAACUACAGAGCUGGAGUCUCGGAGAGGAUCGCGGAAUUCUCGGUGUAGAGGUGAAAUUCGUAGAUAUCAAGCGGAACACCGGUGGCGAAGGCGGCCUUCUGGACAGUGACUGACGCUGAGACGCGAAAGCGUGGGGAGCAAACAGG